Molecule: ribosomal RNA, 1516 nt
Filed under: human gut metagenome
Description: bacterial LSU rRNA
Rfam family: Bacterial large subunit ribosomal RNA
Source: RNAcentral
CAUUUAAAGAAAGCGUAAUAGCUCACUGGUCGAGUCGGCCUGCGCGGAAGAUGUAACGGGGCUAAACCAUGCACCGAAGCUGCGGCAGCGACACUAUGUGUUGUUGGGUAGGGGAGCGUUCUGUAAGCCGUUGAAGGUGUGCUGUGAGGCAUGCUGGAGGUAUCAGAAGUGCGAAUGCUGACAUAAGUAACGAUAAAGCGGGUGAAAAGCCCGCUCGCCGGAAGACCAAGGGUUCCUGUCCAACGUUAAUCGGGGCAGGGUGAGUCGACCCCUAAGGCGAGGCCGAAAGGCGUAGUCGAUGGGAAACAGGUUAAUAUUCCUGUACUUGGUGUUACUGCGAAGGGGGGACGGAGAAGGCUAUGUCAGCCGGGCGACGGUUGUCCCGGUUUAAGCAUGUAGGCGGAGGUUCCAGGUAAAUCCGGUACCUUAUUAACGCUGAGGUGUGAUGACGAGGCACUACGGUGCUGAAGUGAUAAAUGCCCUGCUUCCAGGAAAAGCCUCUAAGCAUCAGGUAACACGAAAUCGUACCCCAAACCGACACAGGUGGUCAGGUAGAGAAUACCAAGGCGCUUGAGAGAACUCGGGUGAAGGAACUAGGCAAAAUGGUGCCGUAACUUCGGGAGAAGGCACGCUGAUGUGUAGGUGAAGCCCCUGCGGGUGGAGCUGAAAUCAGUCGAAGAUACCAGCUGGCUGCAACUGUUUAUUAAAAACACAGCACUGUGCAAACACGAAAGUGGACGUAUACGGUGUGACGCCUGCCCGGUGCCGGAAGGUUAAUUGAUGGGGUUAGCGGCAACGCGAAGCUCUUGAUCGAAGCCCCGGUAAACGGCGGCCGUAACUAUAACGGUCCUAAGGUAGCGAAAUUCCUUGUCGGGUAAGUUCCGACCUGCACGAAUGGCGUAAUGAUGGCCAGGCUGUCUCCACCCGAGACUCAGUGAAAUUGAACUCGCUGUGAAGAUGCAGUGUACCCGCGGCAAGACGGAAAGACCCCGUGAACCUUUACUAUAGCUUGACACUGAACACUGGUCCUUGAUGUGUAGGAUAGGUGGGAGGCUUUGAAGCGUGGACGCCAGUCUGCGUGGAGCCAACCUUGAAAUACCACCCUUUAAUGGCUGGUGUUCUAACGUAGACCCGUAAUCCGGGUUGCGGACAGUGUCUGGUGGGUAGUUUGACUGGGGCGGUCUCCUCCCAAAGAGUAACGGAGGAGCACGAAGGUUAGCUAAUCCUGGUCGGACAUCAGGAGGUUAGUGCAAUGGCAUAAGCCAGCUUGACUGCGAGCGUGACGGCGCGAGCAGGUGCGAAAGCAGGUCAUAGUGAUCCGGUGGUUCUGAAUGGAAGGGCCAUCGCUCAACGGAUAAAAGGUACUCCGGGGAUAACAGGCUGAUACCGCCCAAGAGUUCAUAUCGACGGCGGUGUUUGGCACCUCGAUGUCGGCUCAUCACAUCCUGGGGCUGAAGUAGGUCCCAAGGGUAUGGCUGUUCGCCAUUUAAAGUGGUACGCGAGCUGGGUUUAGAAC